GAUUUUGGAUCUGCAGUUGCUCUGUCAUAUUCGGAACAAAUACUAGAUGGGAGUUUAUGGGGUUCGGAACAAAUUUUUUUACUAAUUUAAUGUUAUGUAAUUGAAUAUACUUAUAAAACUAUUUUACAUUACAUAUUGAAUUCAUCUUAUUUUGCCUAAUAGAUUAAUUAGCAUUAUAUAUAUUAUGAAGAAUGAUUUUAUUAAUAUAGUGUUUCUUUUCCUUAUUUAUUUAUUAGAACGGAGAGAGAGCAAGAGAUUAGGAGGGUGUAAAUUAAUCUUUAUUUAAGAGCUUCAGCAGUGAAUGGUACAACAGUUUUUUGACAUAGUUUCUCACAUACUUUUACCUCUUCUCUAUCUGUCUAUUUACGGCGGCCAUCAACAGGUAUCCAUCAACCAACCCCACUUAUUUAUCUUAAACUCCUUCUAGCCGUUGCGAAGGCCUUAAGGCAAGUAGCUGAAGGAAAAGCUUCUGCUCAAGCUGAGGCCGCUGAAUGGAAAUGAAAAUUUGAGUUGGAGAGGGUGUGGAAUCUGCAGUUUGAUUCUACAGGCCUGGUGUGUGGGGAAAUGAAGGUGGUCAAGUGUAGCAAAAUUAUUUCCUCAUCAAACUAUUCAUUUCAUAUGGUUAAUGGAAUUAUUCAAGAUUGGAUAAAGAGAAAGCUUAUAUAAAUAUCAUAUGAAACAACUAGCUCAAGUUCUUGGAAGUGAGGAAGAGGUUAAGAAGAAGAUAUACUCUGUUUCCACUACUUGGCACCCUGAUUUCCGAAGAGCUUUCUUACAAAGUUAAAGGUAGGUUUAACCGCUACAUUUUUUCUGAUUCAUCUUCCCAUCAGUUCUUGCUUUUCAUUAAUGUCGAUGCUUAUUAGAUUUGUUUUCAUUGCUUGCAUGUGUUAAAUUCUGAUUUGCAAAGCAUUUUUGAUAUCACAAUUGCUUUGUAUUUAAAAGAUUCCUCAACACUCUUAUUUCUUGAUGAACCAACAAGUGAACUUGACACUGCUGCCUCUUACUAUGUCAUGAAAAGAAUUAAAUCCCUUGAUCAUAAAGAUACCAUUUAAAGGACAGUUAUUGCAUCAAUCCAUCAGCUUAGUGCUGAAGUUUUUCAAUUCUUUGAUAAUCUCUAUUUGCUCUCUGCUGGCAAAACAGUUUACUUUGGACCUUCUUCUGCUGCAAUUCAGGUUAAUAUACAACUAAGAACCAACUAACUAACUAGUUCAUAUUUUCAAUGCCUAUCAUUUCUAUAAUACUAUCAUAAGAACAUCAUCUUGUAUGUAGUUUUUCACUUCCAAUGGUUUUUCUUGUCCUGCUCUUCAAAACCCCUCAGAUCAUAUGCUAAAAACUAUAAACAAGGACUUCGAUCAGGAAAAUGAGAUGCCUCCUGAUGAUGGUGGGAAUGGAAUCAUACCAACGGAAGAAGUAAUCCAGAUUCUUGUAAACUCAUAUAACUCAUCUGAGAUGAACCAACAAGUUCAAGCUGAAGUAGCAAUGCUUUCUGAAAC
Non-coding RNA from Arachis ipaensis, 1493 nucleotides. The record is from RefSeq and is a predicted model, not a curated record. Lineage: Eukaryota; Viridiplantae; Streptophyta; Magnoliopsida; Fabales; Fabaceae.